GAUGGUUCCGAUCAGCAGGAGGCAGUCUUGCAGAUGCUCACCUUGCUGGAAGAAGAGGAAUGGCAGGACCAGUUGGAGCUCCCAGGAGACCCAUGAAAAUCAAGACGGCCCAAUUCCACGAUCUUCCUCCUAUUUCUUCUCCUAUAUUCCACCUUCAGACCUUCGACAAUCCAACCUGGACUUCACCACCAGACUUGUCAUUGCGUAAGCCGUUUUGUGACCUUCUAGGGAUCUCAGUUUCCUCAUGAUGAUAAUGGAGCCUGCUCCAUAGAGUUGGAUUUGAUAAAGCACCAAGUCCUUCAAGCUUGGUGCUUUAUCAAGGGCUUGGCACAGACCAGGGGAACUACUGGGAGGGGGGGGUGAUAUUAGGUAAUUGAGGCUUAGUUUAGUACAAAAUCUUCUCCUGAAGGAGGGUCAGGUGGAGAGAGGAGAGCAGGAGGCAGGGCUUGGUGGGAAGAGUAGCAUUUCCUGAGGAGGCUGCUCUCACAUUCAUGGCUUUCCACUUGUCACUGUUUGCCUUGACCUCAGCACUUUAUUUCCUUAGGUGUGAGCUCUUCCAGCUACUUCAGUUGUCCCUGGAGCCCUAGGCUGUCAGACAACAAGCCCUGACAGAGUAGCUGCUCCCCGAUCUCGUCA
This is a long non-coding RNA of Loxodonta africana (African savanna elephant), 636 nucleotides long. RefSeq lists it as uncharacterized. The transcript is spliced from 3 exons. The record is from RefSeq and is a predicted model, not a curated record. NCBI's taxonomy places the organism in Eukaryota, Metazoa, Chordata, Mammalia, Proboscidea, Elephantidae.